CCCUUAGAUGUUCUGGGCCGCACGCGUGCUACACUGAGUAAAUCAAUGGGUAAGGGAACACGAAAGUGCAACCUAAUCUUGAAAUUUGCUCGUGAUGGGGAUCGACGGUUGCAAUUUUCCGUCGUGAACGAGGAAUACCUUGUAGGCGCGUGUCAUCAUCACGCGCCGAAUACGUCCCUGCCCUUUGUACACACCGCCCGUCGCUCCUACCGAUUGAAUGCUCAGGUGAGCCAUUCGGACUUUCAUCAUGCUGGUUUCCAGUUUUGAUGAAGGAAAGUCUUGCGAACCGUAUCAUUUAGAGGAAGGAGAAGUCGUAACA
This 319-nucleotide ribosomal RNA is filed under the name uncultured eukaryote. RNAcentral's name for it is "partial 18S ribosomal RNA". It matches the Rfam family "Eukaryotic small subunit ribosomal RNA", at positions 1470 to 1796 of the family's 1831-position model. The record is from RNAcentral.